Molecule: long non-coding RNA, 7715 nt
Filed under: Ananas comosus (pineapple)
Lineage: Eukaryota; Viridiplantae; Streptophyta; Magnoliopsida; Poales; Bromeliaceae
Description: long non-coding RNA (ACOM_LNC014592)
Source: RNAcentral
GGAUAUACAAAAUAAAUGUUAAUGCAUCGAGACAAGGCCUGCAAGGGCCUUCAAGGAACAAAAUUGAACUCCUCGCCUCCAAUCACACAAAGAAAUUCUCGUACCUAAUAAGUUAUCAGGGCCUAAAGCCAACAUACACUAAUUUAUAUUCUUAUUAAAGUUCUUGGAGAUGAAUCUAUGCCCUUUAACCACAUUUGUCACUUCUAAUAAUUAUCUAACCGCAAAAUUUGAAUAAAAUUGCAAGUUAAAUGAUCUGAGAGGAAGUCAUAUUAACAAGACUAACUCAUGUUUCUUUGGAAUCAAAAUAAACAUACUUAGGUAUUACAAUAAAGCAAUAUAAAUAUAUGCACAUAUACUGUCCUAAUGACAUCAAAACUUUUAUGAGUUGAGCUCCUGUGCUUUUAAAAGCAUAUGAGUCAGAUGUUUUCAAGAUCCGCGCAGCGCUAAUAAAUAAAACUUAAUGGGAUACACCGUUAAUAGUAUUAAAAACGACAUGACGGUUAAAAAGACACAAGCACAAAUGCUCACAGGAGACUCAACUCAACUUUUUGUAAUAUCCGGACCUGUCGCAACCCGCCUAUGACGAUACUUUGCUGAGGCGAGGAUGGCGACAGGGAUGAUGGUGGUUGCCAAUACCUAUUGCCAGCGUGAAGCACAGUUGGGUAACAAUAAUUUGGGGAAUUGAAUUGUGUUUAGGGGGGAAUGAGGAUUGAGAUAAGAGGUAAAGAGUGAGAGAUUGGAGAUUGAGAGAGAAAGGAGGAGAUGGAGGCAGAUAGGGAUUAGGGGUUAAGAGGAGAAGAAAGAAUUGGGGAAGAAGAUAAUAUUUCUAUUCCAUAUUCUUUUUUUCAUUACAUCUCCGUAUUUAUAGUUCUAUAUGCUUAAUACUGAAAAGAAAGACAACUAAUCUUAUGGGACUAAACAGCAAGGUAGAAAAUAGAGACUUGGCUAAGUGGGCCGCCAUCUGGUGCUUUGCUGGGCCUCCGAUGACUUAACAGACCCACAGGAACCCUUGCAAUCGGGUAAGCGGAUAGUCGGGUGUGCUACCCGGUCGACCCUUCGACCGGCGGGUCUUGGGUCCGCCUUUUGUGCUCGCUCCGGAGUUCCGUUCACCCGAUCCGACAGCAGUCAAAGUAUUACUACUUCGGCUUCAUCACUAGAUCCGGGUGGAUCUCCUCUUCAGCUCCCACUCCCUCCUCUGAUCGAAGGAUGCCCUAGUCGCUUCCGAUCUCUCUGCCAGCUCACUCGUUUGCCGGAGCCCCUCGGAACACUCCCGACGGACCCACGUCGUCGAUAAUCUCCUCGCCACCUACUGCUCCUCUUAUCCCUUACUCAGCUAGUAAAGUAACUACCUUCACUACUCUUCUACUAACUACUGCUACUUAUUUUUCCAGGAUGAUAUACUCCCUUCUCUGAUCACUUCUUAACUACUCCGCCCCUUUGCUGCAACUCCUGUCUGGCCGCUUGGGUUGUUACAGCUCCCCUCCCCUCAAGGCGACCCUUGUCCUCAAGGGUCGAAAUCGGGGAACUGAGCCUUGAUGCUCCAGUAGUCCUCCCAUGUCGCCUCUGUUUCGUCGAGAUUGCUCCAUUUGAUGAGGGCCUGAGUUACCGCCCUGUUUCCCCUCCGCACCGGUCGUCGAUCCAGUACCUUCUCCGGCUGCGCCAGGAGCUGACCUCCUUCUCCUACGAGGGGUACAGUAGGAGACGACUGGGCGGAGGUCGGUACCCCCCUCUUAAGGAGUGAGACAUGAAAAACGGGAUGGAUUCUUGAUCCCUCCGGUAGUUGUAGCCUGUAGGCUACUGGCCCGACCCGCGCGGAGAUUUUAAAGGGUCCGUAAUACCUCGAGGUGAGUUUGAUGUUGCGCCGUAGUGCUACGCUGCUCUGUCUGUAGGGUUGAAGCUUCAGGUAAACCAUUUCUCCUUCCUGAUAUUCCUUGUCCACUCUCUUCCGGUCAGCAUUUUGCUUCAUCCUGUUUUGCGCCUCCUUGAGCCUUUCCCUCAGUAGGCUCACCAUCUUGUCCCUUUCCUUGCUCCAUUCUUCGACCAGAGGCCCCGUAUCCAUGCCUAGAUUGGUCGCCGCGUGAGUAGGUGGAGGGUAGCCGUAUAAGGCCUGGAAGGGGGUCAUUCCCAGGGGAGUAUGGUGAUUAGUAUUGUACCACCAUUCGGCUAAAGUUAGCCACUUAUGCCAUUUGUGUGGAUAUUGAAAGGUCAUGCAGCGAAGGUAGGUCUCUAGGCACCUAUUUACUCGCUCGGUCUGUCCGUCGGUCUGGGGGUGAUAAGCAGUGCUCAUUUGUAACUUGACUCCCAGCAAUUUGAAGAGGUCUUGCCAGGUCUGACUGGUGAAUACCUUAUCUCUAUCCGACACUAUCCCCUUGGGUAACCCAUGUAGCCGAUACACUGUAUCUAAGAAUGCUUUAGCUACUUCCUGUGCAGUAUAGGGGUGGGUGAGGGAGAUGAAGUGUGCGUACUUAGUGAGUCUGUCAACCACCACUAGGAUUGUGUCCUUCCCCUCGGACCUUGGUAAAGCCUCCACGAAGUCCAUACUGAUCUCCUGCCAGGCUUGCGUGGGAAUCUGUAGGGGUUGGAGAAGCCCCGCGUAAGGAGUGCCAUCUACCUUGUUCUUAAUACAGAUUUCACACUCCUUGACCCUUUUUUCUAUAUCUUGUUUCAUUCCUGGCCAGUAAAAAAGUUGCUUUGCUCUCUUGUAAGUGUGGUUCAUUCCCGAAUGCCCACCCAGUGAGGAGGCAUGCAUCUGCUCCAUUAAUUUCCCCUUCAGAUCUCCCAUGCUCCCAAUGUAAAUCCUUCCCUUGUACUUGAGCACUCCCUGGCAGUAGGAAUAGUUCGGGUGAGCUGCAGGGUCCAGCAGCAACUCUGCUAUUAUCUUCUGUAUUUGUGGUAUUCCUUCAUAGCUGUUGGUCACCUCUUGUACCCAAGUCGGAAUGAUUGCUGUGAUGGCCAUGCUGUCCCCUUCUUCCCUCCUCCUCCUUGACAAGGAAUCGGCUGCUAUGUUUUCCCUUCCCUUCUUAUACUGUAUGGUGUAAUCCAAUCCCAUCAGUUUGUACAUACCUUUUUGUUGAAUUGCUGUUGUUAUCUUCUGAUCUAGCAAAUACUUCAAACUCUCAUGAUCAGUUUUGAUCACAAACGGUCGUGAGCUAAGAUAAUGCUUCCAUUUAGCAACUGCCAACAAAAUGGCGAGGAACUCCUUCUCAUAUGUGGAUAACCCCAUGUUCUUGGGACAUAUGGCCUUGCUGAUAUAAGCGAUAGGGCGCCCAUCUUGAGUAAGCACAGCUCCUAUUCCGUUCCCCCACGCGUCCACUUCCAAAGUAUAAGGUUUGAAGUGGUCUGGCAUUGCCAACACAGUGCAGUAGUCAUUACUUCCUUGAGCUUCUCGAAGGCCUCUGUCGCUUUCUCAUUCCAACCGAAAUUAUCCUUCUUUAGCAGCUCGGUGAGGGGCUUGCUUAUGCUGCCAUAUCCUUUGAUAAAUCUCCUGUAGUAGCCAGUGAGACCUAAAAACCCUCUCAGCUCUUUCACCGAAGCGGGAAUUGGCCAACUCUUCAUGGCUUCCACUUUCGCCGGGUUUGUAGCAACUCCCUCUUUAGAUAUUAUGUGUCCCAAGAAUUCGACUUGUGUCUGUCCGAAGAAGCACUUACUCCUCUUUGCAAAUAGGCUAUUACUCUUCAACACCAUAAGCACCUGUCUAAGGUGCUCGACAUGCUUCGCCAAAUCCUUGCUGUACACAAGUAUAUCGUCAAAAAACACAAGAACGAACUUCCUCAAGUAAGGGGAGAAUACCUCGUUCAUGAUGGCUUGGAAUGUCGCCGGCGCGUUCGUUAGCCCGAACGGCAUGACGAGAAACUCGUAGUGUCCGCUAUGAGUUUUGAAUGCCGUCUUAUGAACGUCGUCUGGGUGCAUCCUCACUUGAUGAUAACCCGACCUUAAGUCGAUCUUGGAAAAAUACUCGGAUCCUCCCAAUUCGUCGAGCAAAUCAUCUAUCAAAGGUAUUGGGUACUUAUCCUUAAUAGCCGCCUUGUUGAGCUGCCUAUAGUCCACGCAGAAACGCCAACUGUUGUCCUUCUUUUUGACUAACAGCACCGGCGAGGCAUAGGGACUGGUACUCGGCUGUACGAUCUCAGCUUGUAGCAUCUCCUUGAUUUGUCUCUCGAUUUCGUUCUUUUGCUCAUGGCUAUACCGAUAAGGUCUCAAGCUGACCGGCUUGGCAUCGAAAUUAAGUGGAAUUCUGUGAUCCUGGCUCCUACUGGGUGGCAACCCUUGUGGCUCCUGGAAUAUUCCUUCGAAUUGAGUCAACACUUGCUGCACUGGCAGGGGUAUGUCCUUCUCCCUUUCUAGAAUUUCACUGGAAUAGUAAUGCCCGAUAGCACAACAGUUCCCCUCUAAGCCGGCUUUGUACCAUUGCACCGCCGUAAUGGCUUUCAACUCAGCUGCAGCCUCUUCCAUCUUGGAACCCUCGGAUAUGCCCUUGAGACUUAUUUGCUUCCCCUCUUUUAUGAAAGUCACCAAAAGAUUGGAGUAAUCAAAGGUUACCUUGCCGUAAGUCCGGAGCCAAUCGAUGCCCAAAAUGAUGCUUGAUCCGUCCAAUCUGAUCACCCUCAAUUCAAAUUGGAAGGGCUCUCCUUGCAUGGCCCAUUUAAAGUCGGUACACUUGAGUUUGCUCACCACCUUGUGGCCGUUGGCUACGGUCACCGUUAGAGGUGAAGCUUCUGUCAUAUGUGCCUUAACUUCCUUGGCCACCUGGAAAUCGAUGAAGCUGUGUGUGCUUCCCGUAUCAAUUAGUAUGGUCACUGCCUUGCCCCCCACUUCUCCUUGCACCUUGAUCGUGUCAUGAUGGUGCUGACCAUUAAGGGCAUGUACAGAGACGCCUAACUCCUCGCUUUCUUCCCCUGCGGGUUGUUGCUCUUCUUCUUCCACCUCUUGGAGUAAUCUUUCGUCAAAUACUUCGUCGGGUUCCUCGUGACCACUGAUGAGGUGUAAAGUCUUGCUUUGACACUGAUGCCCCGGCUGAUACUUUUCCCCGCACCUGUAGCACAAGCCUGCUGCCUUCCUGUGCUCAAAUAACUGCCUAUUGUUUAGUUGUUGUGGGUUGGCGGUUCUAGGAUAACUUGCUCUAUCCUCCCCUCCAGGAGUGGCCACCUUAUAUCCACUGUUCCCUGUGGCAGUCCCUACAGGUGCCCGAUAUCCAGUUCUGCUCUUUCUCAUUAUAAUCGAUAAUGCUUGCUCAUUUAAUCUUGCCUGCUCAUAUACCUCUUCCAAGGUGGUGGGGUGCGAUAAAUCAAUAAAUGGUACAACUCCUCCUUCAAUCCGCUUAUGUAACUUUCGAUAAAAUGUCGCUCGCUAAGUGUGGGGUUAAGGAAGAGCAUCUUGGCUCUCAGGUCUUCGAAUCUCUCCUGAUAUUUCUCUACGGUACUAGUUUGUGUCAGCUUGUUGAACUCUCUAACAUAUCUCCCUAUGCCGGAGUCUCCGAACCUCUUGCACACUGCCUUAGACAGCUCCUCCCAAGUGAUGUUUAUUUUAUCGAUAAGGUACCCUUCCUUCCACCUGUGGGCUUUCCCUGAGAAAUGCAUGGUUGCGAUCUCCACCCAUUGUGGCUCUGGAAUCUGAUAAAUCCUGAAAUACUGUUCACACUUGCUGCCCCAUUCCCUGGGUUCCUCCCCACAGAAAUUUGGAAAGUCCAGCUUCGGAUAGGGAACAUAGUAGUUUGGCCUACCCUGCUGCUCCUCUACCCUCUCUUGGGCUCGAAAAGGGUUGGGUCUCCCCUGCUGCUCCUCUACCCUUUCUUGGGCUCGAAAAGGGUUUGGAAGGAUUCCCUUGCCCCAGUCUUCGCCCUGGCGGCUACCUACAGGUUGUUGACCUUCCCUGAUGGUUAGGGACACAUUGCUAGCAGUUGAUUUGCCCGUGGACUCUGAGCUAGAUGGCAGAGGUUGAGUGGUCAUCAUCCUGAGCAACUGCUCAUGACGUCGGGCGAUAUCCUACUGCAUGGUCUCGUGGCGUCGUGCAGCCUCAAUCUGUAUGGCUUCGUACCGCUGUUUUCCUUCCUGCUGUAAAUCAUCUAUUUGCUGCGUUAACACCCCCAUCUUCUUACUGUAAUCAAUGCUAAACUGAUGCAAUCUUUCCUCGACCUUCUCACUGCAUUCAGUUGUAAGUUGGUGCAUCUUGUCCUCUAGCAGAUUAAUGUGCUCAUUCAUCUCUCUCAUCCUGGUGCCCUCAGCCAUCUCUACUUCUUCUAUGAGUUUCUUACUGUUGAAUUUAAAGCGAUUUCCCUUUUUCGCCCCAAUCUUGCUGGAUACAAUAACCUACAAGGUGGCCUAGGAUGCUAGUCUGAGGCUUGGUCUCUGAUUCGAUUGAUGAAACAGGGACCAAAUUCUUCUUCACCUUGUUACACUCCUACUUAUGCAGGCUAAAGAGAAACAGGUAAUACUCAAUGCAGGAAUUGAGCGGUCGGACAGUUACCUUGCCCACAAGAUGUUCGGCUAUGAUCAGGUGGUCAUCCUCUUCAGAUCUGGUAAUGUCUCUUCACCCCAGGCUCCUAACAGUGGCUCCCUUUGUUGAGUCCCACUCGCAAGCGAGUCUCACAGCGCGGGAACUCUUACUGCCAGGCCGAUUCUACAAUCCAAUGGAUUGGAAUCAACAUGCAGCUACACUGUUGUCUCCCAGGUCUCGAUGGCUCUGAUACCAAAUUGUAAUAUCCGGACCUGUCGCAACCCGCCUAUGACGAUACUUUGCUGAGGCGAGGAUGGCGACAGGGAUGAUGGUGGUUGCCAAUACCUAUUGCCAGCGUGAAGCACAGUUGGGUAACAAUAAUUUGGGGAAUUGAAUUGUGUUUAGGGGGGAAUGAGGAUUGAGAUAAGAGGUAAAGAGUGAGAGAUUGGAGAUUGAGAGAGAAAGAAGGAGAUGGAGGCAGAUAGGGAUUAGAGGUUAAGAGGAGAAGAGAGAAUUGGGGAAGAAGAUAAUAUUUCUAUUCCAUAUUCUUUUUUUCAUUACAUCUCCGUAUUUAUAGUUCUAUAUGCUUAAUACUGAAAAGAAAGACAACUAAUCUUAUGGGACUAAACAGCAAGGUAGAAAAUAGAGACUUGGCUAAGUGGGCCGCCAUCUGGUGCUUUGCUGGGCCUCCGAUGACUUAACAGACCCACAGGAACCCUUGCAAUCGGGUAAGCGGAUAGUCGGGUGUGCUACCCGGUCGACCCUUCGACCGGCGGGUCUUGGGUCCGCCUUUUGUGCUCGCUCCGGAGUUCCGUUCACCCGAUCCGACAGCAGUCAAAGUAUUACUACUUCGGCUUCAUCACUAGAUCCAGGUGGAUCUCCUCUUCAGCUCCCACUCCCUCCUCUGAUCGAAGGAUGCCCUAGUCGCUUCCGAUCUCUCUGCCAGCUCACUCGUUUGCCGGAGCCCCUCGGAACACUCCCGACGGACCCACGUCGCCGAUAAUCCUCCUCGCCACCUACUGCUCCUCUUAUCCCUUACUCAGCUAGUAAAGUAACUACCUUCACUACUCUUCUACUAACUACUGCUACUUAUUUUUCCAGGAUGAUAUACUCCCUUCUCUGAUCACUUCUUAACUACUCCGCCCCUUUGCUGCAACUCCUGUCUGGCCGCUUGGGUUGUUACACUUUUAUUUAGCAAAAACUAUUUUUACAGUAACUAAAUAAUGAUAAUAUGAGAAAACAUAAUUAAAAGAGACUAAACAGAUCUUAACAAUAAAACGAAG